AUGCUUGUUGUCUCACUUAAGAUAGGAGAUCAUUGUUACCAUGUCUUAUGUGAUUUGGGUGCUAGUGUGAGUGCUAUCUCGUUUACCUUAUAUCAAGAAAUUAUGAAUGAUAUUGCUCCUGCUGAAAUAGAAGACAUUGAUGUUACUAUUAAGCUUGCAAACAGAGACACUACUACACCACUUGGGAUUAUUAGAAAUGUUGAAGUCUUGUGUGGAAAAAUAAAAUACCCUGCUGAUUUUCUAGUUCUUGAUUCUCCACAAGAUGAUUUUUGUCCCAUAAUUUUUGGUAGACCUUUCUUGAAUACUGUUAAUGCUAAGAUUGAUUGUGGUAAAGAAACUGUCAGUGUUAACUUUGGUGAUAUAUCUCAUGAGUUUAAUUUCUCUAAGUUUCGUAGACAAACUCAUGAUAAAGAAUUGCCAAGUAAAGAUGAAAUUGUUGGUCUUGCUUCUAUUGCCGUACCUCCUGCUAAUCCGUUAGAAAAAUAUUUGCUAGACCAUGAAAAUGAUAUGCACUCGAAUGAGAGAAAUGAAAUAGAUAAGACGUUCUUUGAUUAA
This 555-nucleotide ribosomal RNA is filed under the name Triticum aestivum (bread wheat). Its description in RNAcentral is "partial small subunit ribosomal RNA". The record is from RNAcentral. Lineage: Eukaryota; Viridiplantae; Streptophyta; Magnoliopsida; Poales; Poaceae.